This 492-nucleotide ribosomal RNA is filed under the name uncultured bacterium. RNAcentral's name for it is "partial 16S ribosomal RNA". It matches the Rfam family "Bacterial small subunit ribosomal RNA", at positions 29 to 507 of the family's 1533-position model. The record is from RNAcentral.
AGUGAACGCUCGCGGUAGGCCUAACACAUGCAAGUCGAACGGCAGCACAGUAAGAGCUUGCUCUUACGGGUGGCGAGUGGCGGACGGGUGAGGAAUACAUCGGAAUCUACUUUUUCGUGGGGGAUAACGUAGGGAAACUUACGCUAAUACCGCAUACGACCUACGGGUGAAAGCAGGGGAUCUUCGGACCUUGCGCGAUUGAAUGAGCCGAUGUCGGAUUAGCUAGUUGGCGGGGUAAAGGCCCACCAAGGCGACGAUCCGUAGCUGGUCUGAGAGGAUGAUCAGGCACACUGGAACUGAGACACGGUCCAGACUCCUACGGGAGGCAGCAGUGGGGAAUAUUGGACAAUGGGCGCAAGCCUGAUCCAGCCAUACCGCGUGGGUGAAGAAGGCCUUCGGGUUGUAAAGCCCUUUUGUUGGGAAAGAAAAGCAGCAGGUUAAUACCCCGCUGUUCUGACGGUACCCAAAGAAUAAGCACCGGCUAACUUCGUG